AUUUAGAGGAAGUAAAAGUCGUAACAAGGUCUCCGUAGGUGAACCUGCGGAGGGAUCAUUBACACAACAAAAAUAUGAGGGUGUGGUUUGCUGGCAACAGCGUCCGCCCCAAGUAUUUUUCACCCAUGUCUUUUGCGCACUUUUUGUUUCCUGGGCGAGUUCGCUCGCCACCAGGACCCAACCAUAAACCUUUUUUUAUGCAGUUGCAAUCAGCGUCAGUAUAAUAAUUCAAUUUAUUAAAACUUUCAACAACGGAUCUCUUGGUUCUGGCAUCGAUGAAGAACGCAGCGAAAUGCGAUACGUAGUGUGAAUUGCAGAAUUCAGUUGAUCAUCGAAUCUUUGAACGCACAUUGCGCCCUUUGGUAUUCCAAAGGGCAUGCCUGUUCGAGCGUCAUUUGUACCCUCAAGCUUUGCUUGGUGUUGGGCGUCUUUUUGUCUCUCCCCUUGUUGGGGGAGACUCGCCAAAAAACGAUUGGCAGCCGACCUACUGGUUUUCGGAGCGCAGCACAAAUAAACGCCUUCCAAUCCACGGGGCGGCAUCCAGCAAGCCUUUGUUUUCUAUAACAAAUCCACAUUUUGACCUCGGAUCAGGUAGGGAUACCCGCUGAACUUAAGCAUAUCAAUAA
RNAcentral lists this ribosomal RNA (626 nucleotides) under Exserohilum rostratum. Its description in RNAcentral is "eukaryotic LSU rRNA". The record is from RNAcentral. Lineage: Eukaryota; Fungi; Ascomycota; Dothideomycetes; Pleosporales; Pleosporaceae.